CAUAAGACUCUCGGCAACGGAUAUCUCGGCUCUUGCAUCGAUGAAGAACGUAGCAAAAUGCGAUACCUGGUGUGAAUUGCAGAAUCCCGUGAACCAUCAAGUUUUUGAACGCAAGUUGCGCUCGAGGCCUCUUGGCUAAGGGCACGUCUGUCUGGGCGUCACGC
RNAcentral lists this ribosomal RNA (164 nucleotides) under Tripogon yunnanensis. Its description in RNAcentral is "5.8S ribosomal RNA". It matches the Rfam family "5.8S ribosomal RNA". From Rfam's summary of the family: 5.8S ribosomal RNA (5.8S rRNA) is a component of the large subunit of the eukaryotic ribosome. It is transcribed by RNA polymerase I as part of the 45S precursor that also contains 18S and 28S rRNA. Functionally, it is thought that 5.8S rRNA may be involved in ribosome translocation. Lineage: Eukaryota; Viridiplantae; Streptophyta; Magnoliopsida; Poales; Poaceae. The record is from RNAcentral.